Molecule: long non-coding RNA, 80 nt
Organism: Ailuropoda melanoleuca (giant panda)
Lineage: Eukaryota; Metazoa; Chordata; Mammalia; Carnivora; Ursidae
Exons: 2
Source: RefSeq, a predicted model, not a curated record
CGGUCCACAAAACAUUCUCCUUUCCUUCUGAAGGUUUUACCAUGCAUUGUUAUCAUUAACCAGUCUUUUACUAUUAAACU